Molecule: transfer RNA, 72 nt
Organism: Ovis aries (sheep)
Lineage: Eukaryota; Metazoa; Chordata; Mammalia; Artiodactyla; Bovidae
Rfam family: tRNA
About the family: Transfer RNA (tRNA) molecules are approximately 80 nucleotides in length. Their secondary structure includes four short double-helical elements and three loops (D, anti-codon, and T loops). Further hydrogen bonds mediate the characteristic L-shaped molecular structure. tRNAs have two regions of fundamental functional importance: the anti-codon, which is responsible for specific mRNA codon recognition, and the 3' end, to which the tRNAs corresponding amino acid is attached (by aminoacyl-tRNA synthetases). tRNAs cope with the degeneracy of the genetic code in two manners: having more than one tRNA (with a specific anti-codon) for a particular amino acid; and 'wobble' base-pairing, i.e. permitting non-standard base-pairing at the 3rd anti-codon position.
Source: Rfam
UCCCUAGCAGUCUAGUGCUUAGGACUCAGCACUGUCACUGCUUCAGCUGGGGUUCAAUCCCCAGUCAGGGAA